GCGGUGGGGUCGUUGUGGCCGGCGGCUAUGGGGCCGGCGCCCCCACCCCCCCCUCCCCGCAGCAGCAGAGGGGAGAGAUUUGGAACAACAAAAGCUGAAAACCUGCGGGUCAAAAUAAAGAACGCUCAAUAGGUGAAGCAAAGCUGCACACGAGCAAAGCAAAUAGGGAGGAGAAAAUGUUUCAAGUUUUAUGCAACCCUGCACGCAGCUGCUGUGAAUCGGGCCAGCUUUAGCUAAAGAACCCAACAGAUGGAAGAACGAUGUACUGACUCAGAAACUCACCAUACACAGUUACCGCUGUGGUUAUGCUGGACAAUUACCCGUGAGGUUUUCAGAGGGCCAGCCUGUGAGUCCCAGCCUCGGGAAGGCCUCGCACCGUUCCCUGUCACGCAGCUCACAGACUGCUCAGAGCUUUCUCGGCAGUGCCAGCUUAAGGUUCAAGAAGCACUUUGAACAGGACGACCCCUUUCCCCCCUGCAGUGGCUUAGGGAGCACUCUGGUGAAAAGCUGCGGCCUCACUUUUGACAUUUGCUGUGAAAUUUUCACAUCGCGCUUCGGCGGUACGUAUCGGGUAUGUUUUGUAAGGCCCCUUCCAGGAGGAUCCCCAGUUUGUCUCUCGUUCCUUAACUGCCGAAGGCAUGAGAACCGACCACGCAUUAGCAAUACAGCAUUAAGGUAUCCGCUGAAGCGUGGCAGCAGCUUCCCCACCCUUGCCAACCGGCCUUCCCUUCGACAUAAACGGGAACAAGCAGCACACCUCUCGCACGCUUCAGCUGAGCCCACGAGCGACACUGGUCAGAAGGGCCCGUCCCAUCCCGCACCCUCCCUUUACCUGUGGAAGAGGAAGACGCGCAGGUGUCCUGCCUGCGAACAAACACGACCAGGGCCGCGGCGCACACCGGAGGCUUCCUGGGGCGCAAGCCGCCGGCAAGGCAGAGCUCAGGGGCGGCUCCUCAUGGAAGAUGUACAGCUACAGCCCCAGCAGACUUCUGCAGUGCCGCUCGGGCCCCUCACGGAAGGUCUCGUUGUCAAAGUCGGGACUAGCAGGGCACCGCAGCCAGAUGCCAGGCAAAGGCAACCGCUCCAGCUGAGAGGAGACCACAGACCACCAGAGCUGGGAGGAGCGCACACCACCAUAGCCAGGGGUCUGGACAGAAAGAGACCGCCUCUUGCGGCUGCGCGCCACGCUGAGGGCGGGGAGCCUUUCCCUUUCUCGAGGUCAUCUCCCCGUCUCGAGGCUUCUCUCCAAAGCUCGUUUCGAGCGUCCGAGGCGUGCCAGGGUUCUCUAGAAAAAGAGUUCAGCACCGUUUCUGCUCAGUGCAGCUAAAAUGAAAAAACAGGACCAAACUGGAGUUCCAGGGAGCUUUUAUUGUGUUUAAUCAACAAAAUCAGGAUAUUACCAUUCUUUUUUUUUUUUUUUGCACUCAUAACUCAUGAAGCUCUUCACAAGUCAGUGCUGCAACGCACAUACAGCCAGAAGAAAUACA
Non-coding RNA from Phalacrocorax carbo (great cormorant), 1487 nucleotides. The record is from RefSeq and is a predicted model, not a curated record. Lineage: Eukaryota; Metazoa; Chordata; Aves; Suliformes; Phalacrocoracidae.